GUGUUCCCAAGUAGCAGCGUACUCGUGAAAUUCGCUGUGAAUCUGGCGGGACCACCCGCUAAGCCUGAAUACUACCUGGUGACCGAUAGCGGACUAGUACCGUGAGGGAAAGGUGAAAAGUACCCCGGGAGGGGAGUGAAAUAGUACCUGAAACCGUGUGCCUACAAUCCGUCGGAGCCUUUAGGGGUGACGGCGUGCCUUUUGAAGAAUGAGCCUGCGAGUUAGUGCUGCGUGGCGAGGUUAACCCGUGUGGGGUAGCCGUAGCGAAAGCGAGUCCGAAUAGGGCGUCUGUAGUCGCGUGGUCUAGACCCGAAGCGGAGUGAUCUAGCCAUGGCCAGGGUGAAGCGUGGGUAAGACCGCGUGGAGGCCCGAACCCACCAGGGUUGAAAACCUGGGGGAUGAGCUGUGGUUAGGGGUGAAAGGCCAAUCAAACUCCGUGAUAGCUGGUUCUCCCCGAAAUGCAUUUAGGUGCAGCGUCGUGUGUUUCGUGCCGGAGGUAGAGCACUGGAUGGUCUAGGGGGCCCACAAGCUUACCGAAAUCAACCAAACUCCGAAUGCCGGUACGUGAGAGCGCGGCAGUGAGACUGCGGGGGAUAAGCUUCGUAGUCGAGAGGGAAACAGCCCAGAACGCCGGCUAAGGCCCCUAAGUGUGUGCUAAGUGGGAAAGGAUGUGGGGUCGCCCAGACAACCAGGAGGUUGGCUUAGAAGCAGCCACCCUUUAAAGAGUGCGUAAUAGCUCACUGGUCAAGUGGUCCUGCGCCGACAAUGUAGCGGGGCUCAAGCACACCGCCGAAGCCGUGUCAUUCCGGUUAUGCCGGGAUGGGUAGGGGAGCGUCGUUCAGCCGUUGAAGCGCCGGAGUGAUCCAGGUGUGGAGGCUGGACGAGUGAGAAUGCAGGCAUGAGUAGCGAAAGCAGAGUGAGAAACUCUGCCGCCGGAUGACCAAGGGUUCCUGGGCCAGGCUAAUCCGCCCAGGGUAAGUCGGGACCUAAGGCGAGGCCGACAGGCGUAGUCGAUGGACAACGGGUUGAUAUUCCCGUACCCGUGUGAACGCGCCCAUGGCGAGGCUUGUGAUACUAACCGCCCGAAGCCCGGGUCUGAUUCUUCGGAUGAGGACCCGACGUGGAGCGCGGGACCUGAACUUGUAGUAGUCAAGCGAUGGGGUGACGCAGGAGGGUAGCUCCGCCAGUGAGUGGUAGUACUGGUGUAAGCGUGUAGGCCG
RNAcentral lists this ribosomal RNA (1220 nucleotides) under Saccharothrix longispora subsp. yanglingensis. RNAcentral describes it as "Saccharothrix yanglingensis partial 23S ribosomal RNA". It matches the Rfam family "Bacterial large subunit ribosomal RNA", at positions 402 to 1527 of the family's 2925-position model. Lineage: Bacteria; Bacillati; Actinomycetota; Actinomycetes; Pseudonocardiales; Pseudonocardiaceae. The record is from RNAcentral.